Molecule: small nuclear RNA, 107 nt
Organism: Dromiciops gliroides (monito del monte)
Lineage: Eukaryota; Metazoa; Chordata; Mammalia; Microbiotheria; Microbiotheriidae
Source: RefSeq, a predicted model, not a curated record
GUGCUCAGUUCAGCAGCACAUAUACUAAAAGUGGAACAAUACAGAGAAGAUUAACAUGGGCCCGGGGCAAGGAUGACAUGUAAAUUUGUGAGGCAUUCCAGAAUAAG